UCUUCUUACUGGAGGAAUGCUACUUCUUACUGGAGGAAUGCUACUUCUUACUGGAGAAAUGCUACUUCUUACUGGAGAAAUGCUACUUCUUACUGGAGAAAUGCUACUUCUUACUGGAGAAAUGCUACUUCUUACUGGAGAAAUGCUACUUCUUACUGGAGAAAUGCUACUUCUUACUGGAGAAAUGCUACUUCUUACUGGAGACGUACUUCUAUUUACUAGAGGAAUACUAAGUAACAAUCUAACAAUAGUACAUUCUAUUACAUCAAAAAGGAUAUUGAAGUUGUCCUAACAGUUACACUGAUCUCGAAUGGCCCAAUUAGAUGGUGUGGUCAUGAACCUGCCAACAUACCCUCCAAACUCAAUAGUAGAGUCAUAAGAACUCCUCUUAGAGAGGCGUCAGUCCGUCAGUAUUAGACGCUCUUGCCCUGACAAUCCAGCGCCUCAAUAAAAAUCCGAUAUAAAAAGAAGCUAAAUAAGGCUGAGUGUGUCCAGACAUUGAUCUAGCUGCCACCAAGACAUACAAGCCUCCCGUCAAUCUGUCGGAUACACAUUAAGAGAACCUAAACAUUAUUCUUGUACCCAGACAUCAAAGAGUUUUAUCUAAACAUGGAAACUAUCAUGAAGGGGCAGUUUUGUACAUGUAACUAUUAGACUUUACCAAUCACUGUUCAAGUAUGAGAUAGAGCUAGACUUCUGUUGCUAGAGAACACUGAGUUGUUACGAACGAAAGUAAAAACCUUGAGACAAUUAAAAGAGACAUACAACAUGAUUCCAAGUCAUUCUAUAAAGCAGGAACACGACAUUUGAUUUCAUGCCAAUAUGUACAGCAGAAAUACGACAUUUGAUUUCAUGUCAAUAUGUACAGCAGCCACACGACAUUUGAUUACGGCACAUAGUAUACAGAUCGAGAAAAGGCAUUUGAUAAUUACAUUCAAUAUUUACAACACUAAAUGAUCAUCUUUAUGAACAGCAAGCCAUGCAAACUUGUCGCUGGUUAUGUCUAACUUCUGAAUCUCGUCUGGAGUUUACUUUCAAUAAAGUCUUAGGAAGAUUUAAAGAACUGAACCCAUGGAUACUUCAAGAUCAAAACUUGCAGGAUGUUUCUGGAUCGAUACAGGGAUACGACAGAAUGCUACAAGUACAGCCCGAUGGUAUUAAACAAAGCGGUGCCAGCCAUUAUAAUGGAUAGAAAGACAUGAUCUGAGUUUUCUAAUUGAUAUUCUCAAUCUACGGUAAUGACGUUCACAACUGGACUGGAUCUUGACCAUCUAG
Molecule: long non-coding RNA, 1275 nt
Organism: Biomphalaria glabrata
Lineage: Eukaryota; Metazoa; Mollusca; Gastropoda; Planorbidae
Exons: 3
Source: RefSeq, a predicted model, not a curated record